RNAcentral lists this unclassified non-coding RNA (353 nucleotides) under soil metagenome. Its description in RNAcentral is "partial contains 5.8S ribosomal RNA, internal transcribed spacer 2, and large subunit ribosomal RNA". The stretch from base 1 to 120 matches the Rfam family "5.8S ribosomal RNA", at positions 35 to 154 of the family's 154-position model. The record is from RNAcentral.
GAUGAAGAACGUAGCGAAAUGCGAUAAGUAAUGUGAAUUGCAGAAUUCCGUGAAUCAUCGAAUCUUUGAGCGCACAUUGCGCCCCCUGGCAUUCCGGGGGGCAUGCCUGUCCGAGCGUCAUUUCUGCCCUCCAGCCCGGCUGGGUGUUGGGCGCUGUCCCCCCGGGGACACGCCCCAAAGGCAGUGGCGGCGCCGCGUCGGGUCCUCGAGCGUAUGGGGCUUUGUCACCCGCUCGGGACGGACUCGUCGGCGCUGGUCUUCCUCCAGGCGACCCUUCGGGGCUCGUCUUCCUUCGGUUGACCUCGGAUCAGGUAGGGUUACCCGCUGAACUUAAGCAUAUCAAUAAGCGGAGG